This is a non-coding RNA of Tinamus guttatus (white-throated tinamou), 368 nucleotides long. Lineage: Eukaryota; Metazoa; Chordata; Aves; Tinamiformes; Tinamidae. The record is from RefSeq and is a predicted model, not a curated record.
AAGACAUUUGGAAGCUCCAAAACUUUGGGAUUUAGUUAUAAAAGCUCAGAAUUUCAAAAAAGAUGUUCUUAAAGUUUGGAGAAGUUUAUUUCUCUCAAAAUCAUCUAUUGCAGUGUUUCAGGAUUCUUUUUGGUGGUGGUUUCUUCAAAAGUUUAAGCCCAACCAAGAAGAACAAGACCAUUUAUUUGACAGAAUUGCAGACAGUUUUGUGGCACUUUUUCUUGUUGUUCCCAGGGAUACUAAAGAUGCUUUUUUUCAGGUAUAUCCUGAUUGUUUGUCACAAGUCAUUUAUGUGGCUUUCUGUGAAGCAUUCCCAGAAUCCAUUAAAUGUUUUGAUGAUGAUUUUAAGGAUGAAUUAGUAGAUUUAA